RNAcentral lists this ribosomal RNA (253 nucleotides) under uncultured bacterium. Its description in RNAcentral is "partial 16S ribosomal RNA". It matches the Rfam family "Bacterial small subunit ribosomal RNA", at positions 524 to 776 of the family's 1533-position model. The record is from RNAcentral.
UACGAAGGGGGCUAGCGUUGUUCGGAAUUACUGGGCGUAAAGCGUACGUAGGCGGAUUUGUAAGUAGGGGGUGAAAUCCCCAGGCUCAACCUGGGAACUGCCUUCUAGACUGCAAGUCUCGAGAUCAGGAGAGGCGAGUGGAAUUCCGAGUGUAGAGGUGAAAUUCGUAGAGAUUCGGAGGAACACCAGUGGCGAAGGCGACUCGCUGGACUGAUACUGACGAUGAGGCACGAAAGAGUGGGGAGCGAACAGG